CGCCGUUGUCGUCUUCCCAAAUCUCCGACCACCACCCACCACCGGCCGAUGAUGCGUCAAAGUAAACCCACCUUGAUCAUAAUUACCAUACAAAUAAUCCAGAUGAUCAUCACCAUUCAUAAAGCUAAUCUGAUGCGACGAAGCCGUUUGAUCCUCCUCCUCGUACACCACCACGUCACUACUCCAAGCCGGGUCGUAAACCAACCGGGCCGGGUUCGGCCCGUAAACCGACUGGAGCUGGUAGAAG
This 247-nucleotide long non-coding RNA is filed under the name Linum usitatissimum (flax). Its description in RNAcentral is "long non-coding RNA (LUSI_LNC000567)". The record is from RNAcentral. Lineage: Eukaryota; Viridiplantae; Streptophyta; Magnoliopsida; Malpighiales; Linaceae.